GCAUAUCAAUAAGCGGAGGAAAAGAAACCAACAGGGAUUGCCUCAGUAACGGCGAGUGAAGCGGCAAAAGCUCAAAUUUGAAAUCCUCCGGGAGUUGUAAUUUGAAGGACCUAUUGAAACCCUGAAAGAGCAUAAAGUCCAUUGGAAAAUGGCGCCAUAGAAGGUGACAGCCCUGUAUAUCCCUCUUUCAGUAUAUUCUCUAGGCCCAAAGAGUCGAGUUGUUUGGGAAUGCAGCUCUAAGUGGGUGGUAAAUUCCAUCUAAAGCUAAAUAUUGGCGAGAGACCGAUAGCGAACAAGUACAGUGAUGGAAAGAUGAAAAGCACUUUGAAAAGAGAGUGAAAAAGUACGUGAAAUUGUUGAAAGGGAAGGGCUUGCAAUCAGACACAACCUCGGUUGGGCCAGCAGUAGGGCGGGGGGAAACAAAAAAGGAAAGGAAUGUGGCUCUCCCGAGUGUUAUAACCUCUCCCAAUUUUUCCACCCCAUCCCACUUCUGGCGUAAUGGUUGCAAGUCGCCCGUCUUGAAACACGGACC
RNAcentral lists this ribosomal RNA (532 nucleotides) under Metschnikowia sp. (in: budding yeasts & allies). RNAcentral describes it as "LSU rRNA". It matches the Rfam family "Eukaryotic large subunit ribosomal RNA", at positions 38 to 667 of the family's 3401-position model. Lineage: Eukaryota; Fungi; Ascomycota; Pichiomycetes; Serinales; Metschnikowiaceae. The record is from RNAcentral.